This 253-nucleotide ribosomal RNA is filed under the name uncultured bacterium. RNAcentral's name for it is "partial 16S ribosomal RNA". It matches the Rfam family "Bacterial small subunit ribosomal RNA", at positions 524 to 776 of the family's 1533-position model. The record is from RNAcentral.
UACGUAGGGGGCAAGCGUUGUCCGGAUUUAUUGGGCGUAAAGAGCGUGUAGGCGGUUUUACAGGUCCGCUGUGAAAACUCGAGGCUCAACCUCGAGCUGUCGGUGGAAACUGUAAGGCUAGAGUCCGGAAGAGGAGAGUGGAAUUCCUGGUGUAGCGGUGAAAUGCGCAGAUAUCAGGAAGAACACCCGUGGCGAAGGCGGCUCUCUGGGACGGUACUGACGCUGAGACGCGAAAGCGUGGGGAGCGAACAGG